UACAGAGGUCCCAAGCGUUGUUCGGAUUCACUGGGCGUAAAGGGUCUGUAGGUGGCCAACUAAGUCAGACGUGAAAUCCCUCAGCUUAACUGGGGAACUGCGUCUGAUACUGGAUGGCUUGAGUGUGGGAGAGGAAUGCGGAAUUCCAGGUGUAGCGGUGAAAUGCGUAGAUAUCUGGAGGAACACCGGUGGCGAAGGCGGCAUUCUGGACCAUAACUGACACUGAGAGACGAAAGCCAGGGGAGCAAACGGG
This 253-nucleotide ribosomal RNA is filed under the name uncultured bacterium. RNAcentral describes it as "partial 16S ribosomal RNA". It matches the Rfam family "Bacterial small subunit ribosomal RNA", at positions 524 to 776 of the family's 1533-position model. The record is from RNAcentral.